AUGAAAAUUGUCGCUAUAGAUC
This 22-nucleotide microRNA is filed under the name Panax ginseng (ginseng). RNAcentral describes it as "pgi-miR6137a". The record is from miRBase by way of RNAcentral. Lineage: Eukaryota; Viridiplantae; Streptophyta; Magnoliopsida; Apiales; Araliaceae.